GAUUAACGACUGGCGGCGUGCCUAACACAUGCAAGUCGAACGAGGUAGCAAUACCUAGUGGCAGACGGGUGAGUAACGCGUGGUCAACCUACCGUUGAGUGGGGGAUAACUAGCCGAAAGGUUAGCUAAUACCGCAUACGUCUCCGAGGGGCAUCCCUUGGCGAUAAAAGGAGCAAUCCGCUCGAUGACGGGACCGCGUCCCAUUAGCUAGAUGGUGGGGUAACGGCCUACCAUGGCUCCGAGU
Molecule: ribosomal RNA, 244 nt
Filed under: uncultured bacterium
Lineage: Bacteria
Description: partial 16S ribosomal RNA
Rfam family: Bacterial small subunit ribosomal RNA
Source: RNAcentral